Long non-coding RNA from Rhinopithecus roxellana (golden snub-nosed monkey), 363 nucleotides. RefSeq lists it as uncharacterized. Lineage: Eukaryota; Metazoa; Chordata; Mammalia; Primates; Cercopithecidae. The record is from RefSeq and is a predicted model, not a curated record. The transcript has 4 exons.
CUGUUUGUUUGUAUCCCCCAAAUAGGUAACAAGUCCAUGUGAGGCAUAGUUAAGUCUGUGGGUGCUUCAUUGAGGAGUAGAACCUUGAAAAGACUUCUGCCUUGAUGAACAAAUUCGAACGCCAGUUUAAAAUAUUGGAUAUUCAAACACAACAAAUGGAAGAUAAAAUGAGUAGCUCUACAACCCUAACACCACCACAAAACCAAAUGGAUAUGCUGCUUCAGGAAAUGCCAGAUGAAGCUAGAAAACAAAUCCAUAAAAGAAAGGAAGUGAAAAUUUUGAGUGAUGAAAGUACAGUUGGAUUCUGUGUUACUUCUGAAGCUGAAGAUUUUUGAAAGCACAAUGGGUAAGUUCAGGAUUAUC